UUGACAGCCUGGGAGAAUAACCCCUGCACUAAUAAAUCCAGAAAAUGAAUAUUAUAUUAGGGUAAUACUGCAAGCUCCCUUAGACUAGCACAUCAGUGUGUCUCAGUCCUGACCUGAAGGGGACUACCUUCUGAGAUGGAAGAAGUUCAGUCUCAUUACACAUGCAUCUCUCAGCCUUU
This 179-nucleotide small RNA is filed under the name Coturnix japonica (Japanese quail). RNAcentral's name for it is "TUC338 (ENSCJPG00005015529.1)". Lineage: Eukaryota; Metazoa; Chordata; Aves; Galliformes; Phasianidae. The record is from RNAcentral.